UACGUAGGGGGCAAGCGUUAUCCGGAAUCAUUGGGCGUAAAGAGCGUGUAGGCGGUCCGGUAAGUCGGCUGUGAAAGUCCAGGGCUCAACCCUGGGAUGCCGGUCGAUACUGCCGGACUAGAGUUCGGAAGAGGCGAGUGGAAUUCCCGGUGUAGCGGUGAAAUGCGCAGAUAUCGGGAGGAACACCUAUGGCGAAGGCAGCUCGCUGGGACGUUACUGACGCUGAGGUGCGAAAGCGUGGGGAGCAAACAGG
This 253-nucleotide ribosomal RNA is filed under the name uncultured bacterium. Its description in RNAcentral is "partial 16S ribosomal RNA". It matches the Rfam family "Bacterial small subunit ribosomal RNA", at positions 524 to 776 of the family's 1533-position model. The record is from RNAcentral.